AAAUAAACUCAUUGGACCCGGGGGCGGUACCCGGCGCCUCCACCAAAGUGUAAUAAGAAAAAAUUAUAUUUUGGUGGGGGCGAAAUAGGAUCGACAAGGGCGUAAAGAUUGCUCUUUUACUCGGCAUAGUACCACCGUUAUCGGACUAAAUGAGUAGUUGCAAAUGACAACUAUGCGGAAGCACGUCUCGCUGCUUAAUGCAGUGCGAAUGUUUCAAACUAAGCCUUAAACCGUCGCAGGUUUAAGCGGGGUUCGAAGG
This 259-nucleotide transfer-messenger RNA is filed under the name Bartonella volans. Its description in RNAcentral is "partial ssrA". It matches the Rfam family "Alphaproteobacteria transfer-messenger RNA", at positions 75 to 331 of the family's 355-position model. From Rfam's summary of the family: Bacterial tmRNA, also known as 10Sa RNA or SsrA, is named for its dual tRNA and mRNA-like properties. Its role is to liberate the mRNA from a stalled ribosome. The record is from RNAcentral. Lineage: Bacteria; Pseudomonadati; Pseudomonadota; Alphaproteobacteria; Hyphomicrobiales; Bartonellaceae.